AUUGAUGUCAACAGGCAGGCCAAAACUCCAUACCACCACUAUCAAAAUUUUCACAGUAUUAUAUGCCAACCUCAGUGUGGAAAUAUUAAUACAUGUUUUUGGCUGCACUGGGUCUAAAGAGUUUAACCUUAGCAUCAGGUACUCUGUUGUGUUUAAAGUAUCUCCAUUUAAAGGCCCAGUGCAGUCACAAAAUUCCAGUGUUAUUUCGACCUCAAUGUACUCAUUUUGAGAAUUACAUGUACUUUGAAACUUAAGUAUAUUUAAAACCAAGUGCUUUUUGACUUUUACUCAAGUAAGUAUUUUGCUAGGAGACUUUUACUUUUUAUUUUUUAUUUUUUACAUUUAAAAUUGGGUACUUUUUCUACCACUGCAAACUGGCUAUUAUUACUGUAACGUUAACUAGCCAACGUUACAUUGGCUACACAGUAAGUAUAGCUAGGUCGCUGUUUUUCUAUAUUAAACUACGUACGAUAUGUUGUAACACGGAACAAAAUAAAUUUGCGCCAGAAGGGCCCUGUUUGAACGCAAUUGUUACGCUAACUCUGUAUUCACAAUGUACAACACUCAGUGAGUCAACUCAAAUCCAGCUAACUGCAAAAGGUUACCAGCAUCUGUCAUCAGCAUUCAUCGGAGACGUGGCUAUACCCCAUUAAGACAUGUCCAUAUUGAAUUUGUCUUUCAGCAUAAAAAUAUCCUGCCUCUUCUUCACCAGUGAAUCAGGCAGCACUUCAGGGUCAUCGCUGAUGAAAGGCCUGCAAAAUGACAAGGAGGGGAUACUUGAGGACAAAGAGUAUGCGAUUGAGACAAAGACACACAUACACAGGACAGGCAGGUGAACAUCGACUGGCAGAGAAGCAGCUGAACUGGUUCCCCCCUAGCCCUUCUAGUUUGAUGCUGAAAGAGGUGCCUGCUGCAUUUGCUAAACUGGUGGUGCAGGUUGUAAAAAUACUCUAGCCUGGUCCCAGAUCCCUCUAGCCUGGUCUUGCUAACUCAUAAUGUAUGAUAGUUGUCAUGCCAUGUUUCCAUAGGAGUUGGCUAUAUAGUACAAACAGAUCAUAGACCAAACUAACAUUUGGCUGAUUUUCAGAACCGAAGGUGAAACUUCAGUGUACUUGAGGACUACUCUAGAAAUUGUUGGCUUUGUUGCAAGAUAGAAAGGAGAAUAAGCCAUGGUUUGCUUGUGUGUCACCUGAAUGUGAGGGCAAGCGGUUAUGUAUGAUAUGGUUAUGAUAGUAAUGUAGGCCCUAACAUGCACUUUGUUUUCAGGUUUGAAUGAGACAAUAUAUUCCCCUAACCUUAUUAUUUUAAUAAAGUUAUUGUUUAUGAAUAUUAUAUUACUUGUGUAUAUCUGUCCUUAUCAUAUGUAAUUGAUAAUUGUUUUUGGUGCAGAUGUGUUUAAUUUACUAUCUGGAUAAAGUGUCUGAUCAUGGAAAAUGUCAUAGAAUUUUUUUUAAGUGCCAUCAGUCACAUCAGUCCAUAUUUUGUAAGGAUAAGAAUAGAACUACCUUUUAAUGUGAAGAAGUUCUACCUUCCAGAGCUUGAGUUCUAAAAUAAUAACUUGAAAAGAUACCCAGCUAGCAAAUUUCAUUCCUUGGAAGUUGUGGGAAGGUACGUUUUUGGUUUCCCAUUGGAUCUGGGAACAAAGCCAGAAGUUUCCGUACCAGUAAAACCGAACGUUCUAAGAACGGAAGUUAACAUUUUGCCUGUUCUGGGAACAUUUAUUUUUAGGUUGCAG
Long non-coding RNA from Oncorhynchus tshawytscha (Chinook salmon), 1735 nucleotides. Lineage: Eukaryota; Metazoa; Chordata; Actinopteri; Salmoniformes; Salmonidae. The record is from Ensembl.